UAUCCUGUAUGAAAAUGCUAUUUUUGUUUUCAAAACACUUCCUGAUGUGUUCUCUUAUUUUCAUUUCAAAACAUUUUUAUAAGGACCCCGACAGGGUGAAAAGGCCACGCAGAUGCCAGGAGGGCAGAGGUGGCCUCGGAAGGCUUUGCGGCUGGAUGUCCUCAGGGCUCCUGACACCUGAGGCGGGCUCCCCUCUUGUUCCCAGGCCCAUCCAGCCCCUGUGGCAGGUGGCAGGGGCUGGGGGUGCUCCAGUCCUAGAGUCCCAGUUGGGGAUAGGCAGCCGAGGGCAGUCCCUGAACCUCCUUCGGAUUCUGAGCCUCUGGGUAUGGAGGCUAGAGGCUGCCUCCCAGGCACUGUCUUACAACCAUUUCUGUUGAACAAAAGAACCUUGCAGAACCCGGAGCCAAUCACUGGAAGGGUCAGAGCCUCCUAGGCAUCUUCCUCUUUGCAGCUGGGGUGCCCAGGGCCCGGCUGGAGUGACAGGCUCCCUGCGGUGAGUGCUGGCCAGGCUUUCCUGGGCAUCAGGGGCCUGCAGGGGAACUGGCACAGGGAGAGGCGGCCCAGGCUCCUCCCGCUUCGCUGCCCUCCUCCUCCCCUACCCUGCCCUGGAAGGUGGGUUUCCCUCGAGCCUGCACGCUGCCCCUCUGUUCUGCAUGGAAGCUGUCACCUGUCUCCUGUAGGUGAAUGAUUCCCAAGUCUACUGUCCCAACCUCAGCUCUCUUCCCCAGCCUUUAUCCGAGGCAUCCUGACCAUCUUUCCCCGGAGGUCUCUUCCAAAUCCCAUCCUCAAUUGAACGGAAACCCGUCUCAUGUUCACUCAGGAACCACUGGCUCCUCCAGUGCACAGAUUUGCAACCGAUUCCCAUGCCUCCUUUCUAGCCUGAAGCCCAGGACUCACCCGGGGCUCCCCUCUCUGCUCCACGCCAUUCAGCAAGCUUCCACGGAGCGCCUGCACGCUGUGCUUGCCACGGAGUAAAUACAAGCAGGACAUUUCAGCAAGCUUCCACGGAGCUUCCACAGAGCGCCUGCACGCUGUGCUCGCCACAGAGUAAAACACAAGCAGGACAUUUCAGCAAGCUUCCACGGAGCUUCCACGGAGCACCUGCACGCUGUGCUCGCCACGGAGUAAAACACAAGCAGGACAUUUCAGCAAGCUUCCACUGAGCUUCCACGGAGCACCUGCACGCUGUGCUCGCCACGGAGUAAAACACAAGCAGGACAUUUCAGCAAAGCUUCCACGGAGCUUCCACGGAGCGCCUGCACGCUGUGCUCGCCACGGAGUAAAACACAAGCAGGACAUUUCAGCAAGCUUCCACGGAGCUUCCACGGAGCGCCUGCACGCUGUGCUCGCCACGGAGUAAAACACAAGCAGGACAUUUCAGCAAGCUUCCACGGAGCUUCCACGGAGCACCUGCACGCUGUGCUCGACACCGAGUAACACAAGCAGGACAUGGAUCCUACAAUUAGCAACAGUAGACGGGCCGGGUAAUUGAACAUUACAAACAGCUGGGACCCUGAGGGGCAGUAGGACUCCAACCGCUUGUUUUGUACAUGAACAAGAGGAGACCCCAAGAGAUUAGAAGACUGCUCAAGGUCGCAAGCUAAAAAUGGGCAGAUGGGGCUGCGACCCUAGGUCUCCUUGGCCCCAGGAGUGCUCUUCCUGCGGGGUCACAGCCUUUCCCUCUCCAGGCACCGGGUUGAGCAGGCGGGAACGGCAAAACACAGACAGAAACCUCUCAUCAGGACCUCCAAGUUCUGCAGUUUUACCCCGUUUCAUUGCAGAAAUAAAACGAAUACAAGCAAACAUAUUUGCUGGUUGGCCUAUCAACAUCCCAAGAUUUCUGAGAGCUAAACACAGGACUUGGCACACACCUAAAUUGUAUCUGAUAUGGUUUGGCUGUGUCCCCACUCAAAUCCUAUCUUGAAUUGUAGCUCCCAUAAUUCCCACGUGUUGUGGGAGGGACCCGGUGGGAGGUAAUUGAAUCAUGGGGGCGGUUCCCCCAUACUGUUCUCGUGGUAGUGACUAAGUCUCACAAGAGCUGAUGAUUUUAUAAAAGGUUUCCCCUUUCACUUGGCACUCAUUUCUCUCUUCCCUGCAGCCAUGUAAGACCUGCCUUUCACCUUCUGCCAUGACUGUGAGGCCUCCCCUGCCACGUGGAACUGUGAGGCCAUUAAACCUCCUUUUCUUUGUAAAUUACCCAGUCUUGGGUAUGUCUUUAUCAGCAGCAUGACGAUGAACUAAUACAGUAUCACACGUAAAGAAACAAAAAGCUUAUCACUAUCAAACAAAGUGUUUACCAUAACAAAGUUUAAGGCUUGAACAUGUAUUCUUUAAGAUAAUGCAAAGAACAUACACUCUGGUAAUUUUAAUUUCAGCCUGAAAUGUCCUAUAUCCACACUGUUUCCUAAUUUCCUAGGGGGGAAAAUCCUAUUUAAUCUGCACCAUGUUCACUCCUCUGUCUGUUCUCCGCUGGCUACCCAGCUGCGGGAAUGUCUGAUUUUUCACUUGCUGAUUUAGAGGCUCGUAUGACACAUUCAACCUUUUAAAUAAAUCAUUCAUUUUUUUUUAAAGGUUGGCUAUGUCAUAGUGUUGUGAUGCACCCAAUUUUUAAAAUAACUGUUUAUUUGAUGUCAGGUACAUCAGACAGAAAAAUAAAUGUGACUUGGUAGAGCUU
This is a long non-coding RNA of Homo sapiens (human), 2674 nucleotides long. The record is from Ensembl. NCBI's taxonomy places the organism in Eukaryota, Metazoa, Chordata, Mammalia, Primates, Hominidae.